RNAcentral lists this ribosomal RNA (440 nucleotides) under uncultured bacterium. Its description in RNAcentral is "bacterial SSU rRNA". It matches the Rfam family "Bacterial small subunit ribosomal RNA", at positions 338 to 770 of the family's 1533-position model. The record is from RNAcentral.
CCUACGGGGGGCUGCAGUGGGGAAUUUUGGACAAUGGGGGCAACCCUGAUCCAGCCAUUCCGCGUGAGUGAAGAAGGCCUUCGGGUUGUAAAGCUCUUUCGGCAGGAACGAAACGGUGAGCUCUAACAUAGCUCGCUAAUGACGGUACCUGAAGAAGAAGCACCGGCUAACUACGUGCCAGCAGCCGCGGUAAUACGUAGGGUGCGAGCGUUAAUCGGAAUUACUGGGCGUAAAGCGUGCGCAGGCGGUUGUGUAAGACAGGUGUGAAAUCCCCGGGCUUAACCUGGGAACUGCGCUUGUGACUGCACAGCUAGAGUAUGGCAGAGGGGGGUGGAAUUCCACGUGUAGCAGUGAAAUGCGUAGAGAUGUGGAGGAACACCGAUGGCGAAGGCAGCCCCCUGGGCCAAUACUGACGCUCAUGCACGAAAGCGUGGGGAGCA